GGGUACCUUGCUCAGGUGGAAGAGAGUCUGGUUUGCAAUUGGAAGGCCGGGGGUUCAAAUCCCCCAGCGUCCACCA
RNAcentral lists this transfer RNA (76 nucleotides) under Methanobacteriota archaeon. RNAcentral's name for it is "Euryarchaeota archaeon tRNA-Ala". It matches the Rfam family "tRNA". Rfam says of the family: Transfer RNA (tRNA) molecules are approximately 80 nucleotides in length. Their secondary structure includes four short double-helical elements and three loops (D, anti-codon, and T loops). The record is from RNAcentral. Lineage: Archaea; Methanobacteriati; Methanobacteriota.